This 465-nucleotide ribosomal RNA is filed under the name uncultured bacterium. RNAcentral's name for it is "partial 16S ribosomal RNA". It matches the Rfam family "Bacterial small subunit ribosomal RNA", at positions 28 to 507 of the family's 1533-position model. The record is from RNAcentral.
GACGAACGCUGGCGGCGUGCUUAACACAUGCAAGUCGAACGGAAAGGCCCUGCUUGCAGGGCACUCGCGUGGCGAACGGGUGAGUAACACGUGGGUGAUCUGCCCAGCUCUUCGGGAUAAGCCAGGUCAACUGGGUCUAAUACCGGAUAGAAGACAUCUUUAGCGUGAUGGUUCGAAAGUUUUUACGGGGUAGGGUGAGCUCGCGAGCUAUCUGCUUGUUGGUGCGGGAAUGACCUACCAAGUCGGCUACGGGUAGCCGGACUGAGGGAGUGGACGGCCACAUAGGAACUGAGGCAAGGCCGAGAUUGCAACGGAAGGAAGCUGUGGGAAAGUUUGCCAAAUGGUCGCAACCAUGAUGCAGCGACGCGGCGUGGAGUAAGACAGUCUUCUGGGUGAAAACUAAAUGCGCAAGGGACUAUGCUUAUCGUGACGGUACCUAGACAAAAAGCAACGGCUAACUACGUG